CGCAUCUUGCGCCCCUUGGUAUUCCGAGGGGCACACCCGUUUGAGUGUCGUGAAAUUCUCAAACCUUCUGGGUUUCUCGAUCAAGAUGGCUUUGGACUUUGGAGGCAUUUUGCUGGCUUUGCGAAAAGCCAGCUCCUCUUAAAUACAUUAGUGGGGUCCCCUUUGCCGAUCCCCAGGCGUGAUAAGAUGUUUCUACGUCUCGGGAUUUGCUCUGUUCCUUGGGAACCCGCUUAUAACCGUCUCAUGGGAGACAUCGUUCGAGCAUGCUCGACCCACGAACCUUGACCUCAAAUCGGGUGAGACUACCCUGCUGAACUUAAGCAUAUCAAUAAGCGGAGGAAAAGAAACUAACAAGGAUUCCCCUAGUAACUGCGAGUGAAGCGGGAAAAGCUCAAAUUUAAAAUCUGGUGGCCUUUGGUCAUCCGAGUUGUAAUUUAGAGAA
RNAcentral lists this ribosomal RNA (442 nucleotides) under uncultured Basidiomycota. RNAcentral describes it as "eukaryotic LSU rRNA". The stretch from base 283 to 442 matches the Rfam family "Eukaryotic large subunit ribosomal RNA", at positions 1 to 157 of the family's 3401-position model. Lineage: Eukaryota; Fungi; Basidiomycota. The record is from RNAcentral.